UAAGGAAACUGGCAAACGACAAGC
RNAcentral lists this non-coding RNA (24 nucleotides) under Arabidopsis thaliana (thale cress). The record is from RNAcentral. Lineage: Eukaryota; Viridiplantae; Streptophyta; Magnoliopsida; Brassicales; Brassicaceae.